This 253-nucleotide ribosomal RNA is filed under the name uncultured bacterium. RNAcentral's name for it is "partial 16S ribosomal RNA". It matches the Rfam family "Bacterial small subunit ribosomal RNA", at positions 524 to 776 of the family's 1533-position model. The record is from RNAcentral.
UACAGAGGGGGCAAGCGUUGUUCGGAAUUACUGGGCGUAAAGGGCGCGUAGGCGGCCUUCUAAGUCGAACGUGAAAUCCCCGGGCUCAACCCGGGAAUUGCCUUCAAGACUGUCGAGCUAGAGGACGAGAGAGGUGAGUGGAAUUCCCAGUGUAGAGGUGAAAUUCGUAGAUAUUGGGAAGAACACCGGUGGCGAAGGCGGCUCACUGGCUCGUUUCUGACGCUGAGGCGCGAAAGCGUGGGGAGCAAACAGG